RNAcentral lists this unclassified non-coding RNA (281 nucleotides) under uncultured Saccharomycetales. RNAcentral's name for it is "sequence contains 5.8S rRNA gene, ITS2, 28S rRNA gene". Lineage: Eukaryota; Fungi; Ascomycota; Saccharomycetes. The record is from RNAcentral.
AACGCAUAUUGCACUCUAUAGUAUUCUAUAGAGUAUGCUUGUUUGAGCGUCAUUUCAUUCUUAAACCCUAGGGUUUAGUAUUGGUACGAGUUGUUGCUAAAACAACAGUACAGAAAUGACUCGGCACUAAAGGUUGAAGUACUUUUCUAGUGAACUUGUUAUUAGGAUUAAACCCACUAAUGAGUACCCACUAGUUCUAUAAGUCUUUUUCUCUAGAAGGGCCUAACAAAAUUCUAACCAAUUUUGACCUCAAAUCAAGUAGGACUACCCGCUGAACUUAA